GGUUGUUUGGCCGAGCGGUCUAAGGCGCCUGAUUCAAGCGUUAGCUUAACACUCAGAAAGAGUGGAACCCUCAGGUAUCGUAAGAUGCAAGAGUUCGAAUCUCUUAGCAACCA
This is a transfer RNA of 113 nucleotides. It matches the Rfam family "tRNA". Rfam says of the family: Transfer RNA (tRNA) molecules are approximately 80 nucleotides in length. Their secondary structure includes four short double-helical elements and three loops (D, anti-codon, and T loops). The record is from Rfam.